RNAcentral lists this transfer RNA (73 nucleotides) under Hyalangium minutum. It matches the Rfam family "tRNA". From Rfam's summary of the family: Transfer RNA (tRNA) molecules are approximately 80 nucleotides in length. Their secondary structure includes four short double-helical elements and three loops (D, anti-codon, and T loops). Lineage: Bacteria; Pseudomonadati; Myxococcota; Myxococcia; Myxococcales; Archangiaceae. The record is from Rfam by way of RNAcentral.
GCCCUUGUAGCUCAGUAGGCAGAGCACCUGUUUCGUAAACAGGGUGUCGCCGGUUCGAUUCCGGCCGAGGGCU